UAUAUGCCACUUCCCUGUGUCUGUCAUUAUAAUCACAGCUAAAAGGAAACUGAAACUCAGAAACCAGCCAAGGAGAUCCACACGUAGAAAGUUUUGUAAGUUAAAGUCUGACAAAGGCCAUCACUCAGAAAAGACUCUCUCAACUUGGCAUUAAACAUUUACAUGUUCCAAAAGACAAAACUAGAAGCAAUUGAAGGUGAUUUGUGUCACAAUGUCACUCAUCUGUGGGCCAAGUCAUUCAUCACUGAUCAUGAGUCAGUGUACAGUCUUACCUAAUGUCACUUCUGUUUAUAUACCAAGUGGAUGACCACAUGCACUGCUUGGAAUUGUGCCCAUUAUGUGGAUUUUUCUGACUGCUCUUUCAGAUGCAUAACUAAAUUAAGCCGUUUUGGACUAGUAGUUCAUUUUUUAAUCUGCAUCCAAAAGGGCAACCAGUUUGGGUAUGAGUCAAGCUCAUCCUUUUCCCUCCCUUUAUCAACUAGUCAUAAAGAACUUCCCCAAGUGAGAGUAAACGUGACCUGACACAAAUAAUGUAGUGUACUGAACAACUGGUUUAGGGAGAUAAAAUCUUCCAUGAAUCACUCACGCUCUGGAAUGUUCUCCUGGAUAUGUCAAGAAUGCAAGGCAAUGACCACUCUUCGCUUGUGGCUUUCCUCAUGGUUACUUUUGCAACAACAAUAACAACAAAAGCCCUUGAAAGCUGAGGUAAUAUUUCUUCUUGAACAGAAACUGGCUUUGCUUUGAAAGAGUUGAAUACCCCCAUCAGUAUUUCUGCACUGUGAUACUGAAUGUAGUCACAGUCUGCAUCUGCUGCUUCUGCGUAGGCCCUCCUGGACUUGUGGGGAUAAGGAUGUCAGUGCUAACAUAGAUUUCAUGUUGCUAGUUGUGCAAUGAAUACUAAAGUCCUUUUUCUCUGUGUAAGAAUCUCAUAUUUUCUGUCAGCAUCCAAGAGUAACAGGCUAACAGAUGAGGUGGUGAGUAGUGUAAAGUCCCAAUCCCUGUCACUUGUUCAUACAUCCUAUGUUUACUCUCUCUGCUGAUGAUUAAUUCUGGGUGUGUGAGUUCUGUCAGUUAGAUGAUUACUGGUCCCAGCAAGCUUUACAACAAUUUGUUGGUCUGCAUCACUAAUCAUUUGAUAGGAACUCUGACUUCAUGGUCACUUUAUUUCUCAUAAUUAGGUGUCCUGUUUGGAUCAGGACCUAGCUGCAUACAGGUGUCAUUAGUCAAAUAGGGUUUACAUCUUUGGCAUAAAUAAUUUGGAGCUAUUCCAAAACCUAAAGGACAAUGAAUGUGUUGUGUGUGUGCACGUGCACACACAGUCACUGUUGGAUAACAAGUUUUUAAAAUUUCUUUAUGAAAGAUACACAUCAGACAAUUUAGAACUUUAAAGUCUUUACAAUCGUGUUGAUCAGCAUUUUGGAAAUCUCCUGAGGCUUCCCUGAUUCAUUAGGAUAUAGAGAAACUAGCAAGUUAUGGAAUCAAUGAAACUUAACUGCAAAAAUUUCAGUAGUGCUCUCCAGGGGUUCUCUGAUUGAUAUGUAUAUCUCACCUCAAUCUUAUUGAAAAGCAGAAACCUGUAUGAAUUCAUUUUCAUAAUAAAGAAAAAUUUUC
Sciurus carolinensis (gray squirrel) is the source of this 1611-nucleotide long non-coding RNA. RefSeq lists it as uncharacterized. Lineage: Eukaryota; Metazoa; Chordata; Mammalia; Rodentia; Sciuridae. The transcript is spliced from 3 exons. The record is from RefSeq and is a predicted model, not a curated record.